This 468-nucleotide ribosomal RNA is filed under the name uncultured bacterium. RNAcentral describes it as "partial 16S ribosomal RNA". It matches the Rfam family "Bacterial small subunit ribosomal RNA", at positions 28 to 507 of the family's 1533-position model. The record is from RNAcentral.
GACGAACGCUGGCGGCGUGCUUAACACAUGCAAGUCGAACGGAAAGGCCCUGCUUUUGUGGGGUGCUCGAGUGGCGAACGGGUGAGUAACACGUGAGUAACCUGCCCUUGACUUUGGGAUAACUUCAGGAAACUGGGGCUAAUACCGGAUAGGAGCUCCUGCUGCAUGGUGGGGGUUGGAAAGUUUCGGCGGUUGGGGAUGGACUCGCGGCUUAUCAGCUUGUUGGUGGGGUAGUGGCUUACCAAGGCUUUGACGGGUAGCCGGCCUGAGAGGGUGACCGGCCACAUUGGGACUGAGAUAAGGCCCAGACUCCUACGGGAGGCAGCAGUGGGGAAUAUUGCACAAUGGGCGGAAGCCUGAUGCAGCAACGCCGCGUGCGGGAUGACGGCCUUCGGGUUGUAAACCGCUUUCGCCUGUGACGAAGCGUGAGUGACGGUAAUGGGUAAAGAAGCACCGGCUAACUACGUG